UGACUUAUAACCUAGCGAUCUUAGUGAGGAGAAAUCCUCGCUAAUUUAAACUUAUAUUGGCAACAAUAUAACUAAGUUGAAGGUUGACAAACUCUAAAUUUUCAACGAUGGAUGUCUAGGCUCCCAUAACGAUGAAGAACGCAGCGAGAAUGCGAUAUGCAAUGUGAAUUGCAGAACUACGAAUCAUUUGAUCUUUGAACGCAAAUGGCGCUGGCGCAUGCCAGCAUACUUGUUUCAGUGUGCCUAACCAAAUCAAACUAAAUGUAAGAGAUAAUUCUCUUAUCAAAUACAUGCUCCGAGUAGCAAUCACAUUUAUUUGUGAGCUAUUUGCGAGACUCAUGUCUUAUUCGCACCUGAAAUCAAGUAAGAUCACCCGCUGGACUUAAGCAUAUUACUAAGCGGAGGAGAAGAAAUUAACUAAGAUUGCCUUAGUAAGGGCGACUGAACCGGCAAAAGCUCGAAAUUAAAAUCGGAAAUUCAACGAAUUUUCGAAUUGUAAUCAGGGUUGCCUAAAUACGGGAGGUUCCUCAAGAGUCUCGAAAGGCUCGCCAAAGAGGGUGAAAGCCCCGUGCAGGGAUCUCUCGAACAAGGUAAUUCACACAAGAGUCGUGUUGCUUGGAACUGCAGCACUAAGUGGGAGAUAUGAUUCUUCCAAAGCUAAAUAUGGAUGGGAGACCGAUAGCGAACAAGUACUGUGAAGGAAAGAUGAAAAGGACUUUGAAAAGAGAGUGAAAAGAUCUGAAAUCGUUGAGAAGGAAGCGGUUCAAACUGAUCGAGGUUAUGAUGGCGCAACGCGGCCAAAAGUCGUGGAGCGUUUACCAAAAACCCUGGACAAAAUGAAUCUCUUCGUGCCAAAAUAGGCGCAAGCCGUGUAAGCAUGAAAGGGAUUGAGG
This is a ribosomal RNA of 893 nucleotides. The stretch from base 350 to 893 matches the Rfam family "Eukaryotic large subunit ribosomal RNA", at positions 1 to 557 of the family's 3401-position model.